UUCUUUUAGUAGAUCAACGGAAGAAAAU
RNAcentral lists this small RNA (28 nucleotides) under Arabidopsis thaliana (thale cress). Its description in RNAcentral is "ATSL169290". The record is from RNAcentral. Lineage: Eukaryota; Viridiplantae; Streptophyta; Magnoliopsida; Brassicales; Brassicaceae.